CACGUAGGAGACGAGCGUUAUCCGGAUUUACUGGGUGUAAAGCGCGUGCAGGCGGUCCGAUAAGUUGGAUGUGAAAGCUCCUGGCUUAACUGGGAGAGGUCGUUCAAUACUGUUGGACUAGAGGAUGUCAGAGGGGAGUGGAAUUCCGAGUGUAGCGGUAAAAUGCAUAGAUAUUCGGAAGAACACCAGUGGCGAAGGCGGCUCUCUGGGACAUAUCUGACGCUCAGACGCGAAAGCUAGGGUAGCAAACGGG
This 253-nucleotide ribosomal RNA is filed under the name uncultured bacterium. RNAcentral describes it as "partial 16S ribosomal RNA". It matches the Rfam family "Bacterial small subunit ribosomal RNA", at positions 524 to 776 of the family's 1533-position model. The record is from RNAcentral.